GAUGAACGCUGGCGGCGUGCCUAAUACAUGCAAGUCGAGCGAACAGACGAGGAGCUUGCUCCUCUGACGUUAGCGGCGGACGGGUGAGUAACACGUGGAUAACCUACCUAUAAGACUGGGAUAACUUCGGGAAACCGGAGCUAAUACCGGAUAAUAUAUUGAACCGCAUGGUUCAAUAGUGAAAGACGGUUUUGCUGUCACUUAUAGAUGGAUCCGCGCCGCAUUAGCUAGUUGGUAAGGUAACGGCUUACCAAGGCGACGAUGCGUAGCCGACCUGAGAGGGUGAUCGGCCACACUGGAACUGAGACACGGUCCAGACUCCUACGGGAGGCAGCAGUAGGGAAUCUUCCGCAAUGGGCGAAAGCCUGACGGAGCAACGCCGCGUGAGUGAUGAAGGUCUUCGGAUCGUAAAACUCUGUUAUUAGGGAAGAAGAAAUGUGUAAGUAACUAUGCACGUCUUGACGGUACCCAAUCAGAAAGCCACGGCUAACUACGUG
Molecule: ribosomal RNA, 497 nt
Filed under: uncultured bacterium
Lineage: Bacteria
Description: partial 16S ribosomal RNA
Rfam family: Bacterial small subunit ribosomal RNA
Source: RNAcentral